GACGAACGCUGGCGGCGUGCUUAACACAUGCAAGUCGAACGGAAAGGCCCUGCUUUUGUGGGGUGCUCGAGUGGCGAACGGGUGAGUAACACGUGAGUAACCUGCCCUUGACUUUGGGAUAACUUCAGGAAACUGGGGCUAAUACCGGAUAGGAGCUCCCGCUGCAUGGUGGGGGUUGGAAAGUUUCGGCGGUCGGGGAUGGACUCGCGGCUUAUCCGCUUGUUGGUGGGGUGGUGGCUUACCAAGGCUUUGACGGGUCGCCGGCCUGAGAGGGUGACCGGCCCAGUCGCGACUGAGAGGCGGCAGAGGCGACUACGGGAGGCAGCAGGGGAGAAUAGUGCAGCAAGGGCGGAUGGGUGAUGCAGCAACGCCGCGUGUGGAAUGACGGUCUUGGGGUUGAAAACCGCUUUCGCAUGUGACGAAGGGUGAGACGGUACCAAGAGUAAAGACGCCGGCUAUAACUGCG
Molecule: ribosomal RNA, 466 nt
Filed under: uncultured bacterium
Lineage: Bacteria
Description: partial 16S ribosomal RNA
Rfam family: Bacterial small subunit ribosomal RNA
Source: RNAcentral